GACGAACGCUGGCGGCGUGCCUAAUACAUGCAAGUUGAGCGCUGAAGGUUGGUACUUGUACCAACUGGAUGAGCAGCGAACGGGUGAGUAACGCGUGGGGAAUCUGCCUUUGAGCGGGGGACAACAUUUGGAAACGAAUGCUAAUACCGCAUAAAAACUUUAAACACAAGUUUUAAGUUUGAAAGAUGCAAUUGCAUCACUCAAAGAUGAUCCCGCGUUGUAUUAGCUAGUUGGUGAGGUAAAGGCUCACCAAGGCGAUGAUACAUAGCCGACCUGAGAGGGUAUUCGGCCAAUUUGGAACUGGGACCCGCCCCAACCUCCUCGGGAAGGAGCAAGAGGGAAUCUUCGGCAAUGGACGAAAGUCUGACCGAGCAACGCCGCGUGAGUGAAGAAGGUUUUCGGAUCGUAAAACUCUGUUGGUAGAGAAGAACGUUGGUGAGAGUGGAAAGCUCAUCAAGUGACGGUAACUACCCAGAAAGGGACGGCUAACUACGUG
This 496-nucleotide ribosomal RNA is filed under the name uncultured bacterium. Its description in RNAcentral is "partial 16S ribosomal RNA". It matches the Rfam family "Bacterial small subunit ribosomal RNA", at positions 28 to 507 of the family's 1533-position model. The record is from RNAcentral.